AUGCCGCCGUCCUUGCAGAUGUCCUUGACGCUGGCCCACGAGAGGAGCUCGACGUCGAACUGGAGCGUGGCGUUGGGCGGGAUCGUGGGCGGGGAGCCCGCCUCGCCGUACGCGAGGUCCGGCGGGAUGGUGAGGACGGCGUUCUCGCCCUUCUUCAUGGUCUUGAUGCCCUGGUCCCAUCCCUUGAUCACCUGCCCCUGCCCGAGCUUGAACUUGAAGGGAGUCCCGCGGUCUCGGCUCUCUAGGUGGAAUGGAAAGAUGAAGCGAUUAACGGGUGCGCGCUCGCUCGCGAUCUGCGUCUCUGCGCGUUCUGGAUGUUGUUUGCAGCCGGAGCAUGGCGUGGCUCGGAUCGGUGGCGUCUUAUAUGGCGGAGCAGAGAUUGUCGCGUUCAACGAUGUGGUGUUCUAG
RNAcentral lists this ribosomal RNA (408 nucleotides) under Triticum aestivum (bread wheat). RNAcentral describes it as "partial small subunit ribosomal RNA". Lineage: Eukaryota; Viridiplantae; Streptophyta; Magnoliopsida; Poales; Poaceae. The record is from RNAcentral.